GAGGCAGUAGCUCAGUCGUAGAGCCCCGCUUCGCAUGCAGGGAGACCUGGGUUCGAUUCCCGGCUGCUUCC
Molecule: transfer RNA, 71 nt
Organism: Toxocara canis (dog roundworm)
Lineage: Eukaryota; Metazoa; Nematoda; Chromadorea; Rhabditida; Toxocaridae
Rfam family: tRNA
About the family: Transfer RNA (tRNA) molecules are approximately 80 nucleotides in length. Their secondary structure includes four short double-helical elements and three loops (D, anti-codon, and T loops). Further hydrogen bonds mediate the characteristic L-shaped molecular structure. tRNAs have two regions of fundamental functional importance: the anti-codon, which is responsible for specific mRNA codon recognition, and the 3' end, to which the tRNAs corresponding amino acid is attached (by aminoacyl-tRNA synthetases). tRNAs cope with the degeneracy of the genetic code in two manners: having more than one tRNA (with a specific anti-codon) for a particular amino acid; and 'wobble' base-pairing, i.e. permitting non-standard base-pairing at the 3rd anti-codon position.
Source: Rfam